RNAcentral lists this long non-coding RNA (294 nucleotides) under Elaeis guineensis (African oil palm). Its description in RNAcentral is "long non-coding RNA (EGUI_LNC024081)". Lineage: Eukaryota; Viridiplantae; Streptophyta; Magnoliopsida; Arecales; Arecaceae. The record is from RNAcentral.
CCUAGUUGGCCAUAGAUCUGAUGAUGGAAGUGUUUGAUUUCACAAGUUGAGAGAGGAGGAUCUUGAAAACUAAAAGAAAGAUAUGGUUGCAGGAAGAAGAGUUGGAAGAAGGAGAUAGCUAUGAAAGAUAGAAAGGAUAGUCUAUAAGGAGGAAAGAGAUAGCUAUGAGAGAUGGAAAAGGUGGGCUAUAAGGAAUAAGCAAAAUGCACCUUACAAAGGUAUAUUCAAAAAGGAUUUCAAUUGAUUGCAAGAUCUUGGAGAUGGUGAGAUUGCAUGUGUCACUUGUAGUAGCCU